This 500-nucleotide ribosomal RNA is filed under the name uncultured bacterium. RNAcentral describes it as "partial 16S ribosomal RNA". It matches the Rfam family "Bacterial small subunit ribosomal RNA", at positions 30 to 523 of the family's 1533-position model. The record is from RNAcentral.
AUUGAACGCUGGCGGCAUGCUUUACACAUGCAAGUCGAACGGUAACAGGGAGCUUGCUCCGCUGACGAGUGGCGAACGGGUGAGUAAUAUAUCGGAACGUACCCAAGAGUGGGGGAUAGCGUAGCGAAAGUUACGCUAAUACCGCAUACGAUCUAUGGAUGAAAGCAGGGGACCUUCGGGCCUUGUGCUCCUGGAGCGGCCGAUAUCUGAUUAGCUAGUUGGUGAGGUAAAGGCUCACCAAGGCGACGAUCAGUAGCUGGUCUGAGAGGACGACCAGCCACACUGGAACUGAGACACGGUCCAGACUCCUACGGGAGGCAGCAGUGGGGAAUUUUGGACAAUGGGCGCAAGCCUGAUUCAGCAAUGCCGCGUGAGUGAAGAAGGCCUUCGGGUUGUAAAGCUCUUUUGUCAGGGAAGAAACGGCUGUGGCUAAUAUCCACGGCUAAUGACGGUACCUGAAGAAUAAGCACCGGCUAACUACGUGCCAGCAGCCGCGGUAA